RNAcentral lists this long non-coding RNA (1091 nucleotides) under Struthio camelus australis. RNAcentral's name for it is "lncRNA (ENSSCUG00000009215.1)". Lineage: Eukaryota; Metazoa; Chordata; Aves; Struthioniformes; Struthionidae. The record is from RNAcentral.
CUCAGAUUCAGCAGCAGGAAAACUGAAUCCCACCUGCUCUCCCAAGGGAUGAAUCUGUCUCUAGUGCACCUGCUUAUUCUGCCACAAGGAGAGAUGUGAUCUGGCUGGUAUUACAAGAGGCUUCUGCCAUUUUUCCCGACACUGAAGAGAGAAGCCUUGCGCUAUGCUGUGGAGGACAACGAACUGUUGACCACCAAAUGAUGGGAGAGCAAUGCUUGAUGCUGAGAAGGCCCUGCUGGAAAUGCCCACUGGGAGAAAAUGCUCAGCAAAGCAGGAGGUCCAGCCAAGCACGAGAGUCCCCGACUCCCACUAGCGCUGGAGGGGGCCGCGAGGAGCACCUACCGCAAGCGCGAGAAAGCAUCUGGAGGCUUCAGAAAGGCAACACCUGAGAGAGGUCAUCUUAACAUGUAAUAGAGUUUUCUAGUGCCAGAAUUGUGUGCUUUUCUGAAAGUAAGAAUUUUAACCUGUUGAAAAGAGGAUAUAUAAAGGGAGACAUUUAGUCUUGAUGGAAUAUGCUUUAGACUUUUUAUUAUUAUUACUUUUUGCACUGAAGUGUCUCAUUGUGUCUCAUGAGAAUCACCAUUAGUCAUUUUAACGUGCUUUCUGUUAAAUUCAAAGAUUAGCAGAGUGGUUUUAAUGAAAUUCAGAUAAACCCAGUAUGAAUACUGGGAUACAAGACAACUAUUUUGUGCACAAAUCAAGAACAAAAAAAAACCCCAAAGCCCACCUGAAGAUCUCACAAAGAUAAUGCUGAAGAAAUUAAAAAAAAAAAAAAAGAUAAAAGAAUGAACACAGAUAUUACUACCUUGAAUUUUGUGAAAUGUGUUAUAUGACAUUUGGCCAUAAUCACAAUUAGCAAUGCUCUUAGGGCUGUAUGUGCAAAUCUGAAUGUGUGAAUUUGAGAGUAAUAGUGGCUGUAUAAAUUAAUUUUCUUGUGAAGAUCUGAUUGCUCCACAUAUUAUAGUCUGUCUACAUCCUACAUUCUCAUCAAGUGUUGCCGAUUAGUUCUCAGAAUGUAAUUGAAGAAUGAAAAUAGAAGAGCAAAAUGUCUGAUUUAUAGACUGAAUUGGUUAUGCCCAGUGAUUUCUGUG